CCUACGGGAGGCAGCAGUGGGGAAUUUUCCGCAAUGGGCGAAAGCCUGACGGAGCAACGCCGCGUGAGGGAUGAAGGCCUCUGGGCUGUAAACCUCUUUUCUCAAGGAAGAAGAUCUGACGGUACUUGAGGAAUAAGCCACGGCUAAUUCCGUGCCAGCAACCGCGGUAAUACGGGAGUGGCAAGCGUUAUCCGGAAUUAUUGGGCGUAAAGCGUCCGCAGGCGGCCCUUCAAGUCUGCUGUUAAAACGUGGAGCUUAACUCCAUCAUGGCAGUGGAAACUGUUGGGCUUGAGUGUGGUAGGGGCAGAGGGAAUUCCCGGUGUAGCGGUGAAAUGCGUAGAUAUCGGGAAGAACACCAGUGGCGAAGGCGCUCUGCUGGGCCACAACUGACGCUCAUGGACGAAAGCCAGGGGAGCGAAAGGGAUUAGAUACCCCUGUAGUCCUGGCCGUAAACGAUGAACACUAGGUGUCGGGGGAAUCGACCCCCUCGGUGUCGUAGCCAACGCGUUAAGUGUUCCGCCUGGGGAGUACGCACGCAAGUGUGAAACUCACAGGAAUUGACGGA
Molecule: ribosomal RNA, 565 nt
Filed under: uncultured bacterium
Lineage: Bacteria
Description: bacterial SSU rRNA
Rfam family: Bacterial small subunit ribosomal RNA
Source: RNAcentral